This 730-nucleotide long non-coding RNA is filed under the name Nicotiana benthamiana. RNAcentral's name for it is "long non-coding RNA (NBEN_LNC021601)". The record is from RNAcentral. Lineage: Eukaryota; Viridiplantae; Streptophyta; Magnoliopsida; Solanales; Solanaceae.
UUGAAACAACUGAUGGUUGAGUAUUUCUGGCCCUGGCAAAUGCAGAAUCACUUGUAGGACCUGAAUGUUGAGCUGUUGUCUCAGCAACCUGUGAUGGUUGAGUAGCACCAGAAUUACUGGUUCCUGCUAUUCUAGAUCCUUGUCCUCUCUGAUAUUUUCAAAAAUACAAACUAAGAUAUAUAAAUUUAAAAAGUACAGGACACAAUCAGACACAAAUUGAAUAUAUUACCAGGAUAAGACACCCCUUCUUAUUAUGGCCUACCAUCUUACAGUUAGAGCAUGUCAUAUGUGUCCCUUUCCUUGAUCUCUUACCAAACUUCUUGUUAGGUUCAUCAACAAAUUUUUUUUCCUGUUUUUCUUUGGUCUACCAAGCAUCUUGGUAAUCACAGGAUGCUCAACAAUUGGAUUUUCUGUUGAUGGCCACAUCUCCAUGUUGGUUACUGGCUGUAUGUAACAACUAAAAGCCUUCAGAUAUGUUUCUUUCUUGUACCAGUGGGUUACAUAGUCAGCAGGAUCAUAUUUCUUAAAAAACAUUGCACAUAGUGCAUGGGAGCGUGGUAGUCCUUUGAGCUGCCAUGAUCUGCAUGUGCAUGUAUUACAUAGUCAGCAUGCUCAAAUUUCUUAAAAGAAGCUGCACAUAUUGCAUGGGAGCAUGGUAGUCCUUUGAGCUGCCAUGAUCUACAUGUGCAUGUAUUGUUGGAGAAGAAGUUUCAGUAGAAGAACUUUCAGC